Caenorhabditis elegans is the source of this 21-nucleotide non-coding RNA. Lineage: Eukaryota; Metazoa; Nematoda; Chromadorea; Rhabditida; Rhabditidae. The record is from Ensembl.
UGUUCUUUCUCUUCAAAUUAA